Molecule: ribosomal RNA, 489 nt
Filed under: Streptococcus mutans
Lineage: Bacteria; Bacillati; Bacillota; Bacilli; Lactobacillales; Streptococcaceae
Description: bacterial SSU rRNA
Rfam family: Bacterial small subunit ribosomal RNA
Source: RNAcentral
GACGAACGCUGGCGGCGUGCCUAAUACAUGCAAGUGGGACGCAAGGGAACACACUGUGCUUGCACACCGUGUUUUCUUGAGUCGCGAACGGGUGAGUAACGCGUAGGUAACCUGCCUAUUAGCGGGGGAUAACUAUUGGAAACGAUAGCUAAUACCGCAUAAUAUUAAUUAUUGCAUGAUAAUUGAUUGAAAGAUGCAAGCGCAUCACUAGUAGAUGGACCUGCGUUGUAUUAGCUAGUUGGUAAGGUAAGAGCUUACCAAGGCGACGAUACAUAGCCGACCUGAGAGGGUGAUCGGCCACACUGGGACUGAGACACGGCCCAGACUCCUACGGGAGGCAGCAGUAGGGAAUCUUCGGCAAUGGACGAAAGUCUGACCGAGCAGCGCCGCGUGAGUGAAGAAGGUUUUCGGAUCGUAAAGCUCUGUUGUAAGUCAAGAACGUGUGUGAGAGUGGAAAGUUCACUCAGUGACGGAGCUACCAGAAAGGAC